AUUGAACGCUGGCGGCAUGCUUUACACAUGCAAGUCGAACGGCAGCACGGACUUCGGUCUGGUGGCGAGUGGCGAACGGGUGAGUAAUGUAUCGGAACGUACCUUUCAGUGGGGGAUAACGUAGCGAAAGUUACGCUAAUACCGCAUAUUCUGUGAGCAGGAAAGCAGGGGAUCGCAAGACCUUGCGCUGAUUGAGCGGCCGAUAUCAGAUUAGCUAGUUGGUGGGGUAAAGGCCUACCAAGGCUACGAUCUGUAGCGGGUCUGAGAGGAUGAUCCGCCACACUGGAACUGAGACACGGUCCAGACUCCUACGGGAGGCAGCAGUGGGGAAUUUUGGACAAUGGGGGCAACCCUGAUCCAGCCAUGCCGCGUGAGUGAAGAAGGCCU
RNAcentral lists this ribosomal RNA (387 nucleotides) under uncultured bacterium. RNAcentral's name for it is "bacterial SSU rRNA". It matches the Rfam family "Bacterial small subunit ribosomal RNA", at positions 30 to 417 of the family's 1533-position model. The record is from RNAcentral.